RNAcentral lists this ribosomal RNA (491 nucleotides) under uncultured bacterium. RNAcentral describes it as "partial 16S ribosomal RNA". It matches the Rfam family "Bacterial small subunit ribosomal RNA", at positions 29 to 506 of the family's 1533-position model. The record is from RNAcentral.
AGUGAACGCUGGCGGUAGGCCUAACACAUGCAAGUCGAACGGCAGCACAGUAAGAGCUUGCUCUUACGGGUGGCGAGUGGCGGACGGGUGAGGAAUACAUCGGAAUCUACUUUUUCGUGGGGGAUAACGUAGGGAAACUUACGCUAAUACCGCAUACGACCUACGGGUGAAAGCAGGGGAUCUUCGGACCUUGCGCGAUUGAAUGAGCCGAUGUCGGAUUAGCUAGUUGGCGGGGUAAAGGCCCACCAAGGCGACGAUCCGUAGCUGGUCUGAGAGGAUGAUCAGCCACACUGGAACUGAGACACGGUCCAGACUCCUACGGGAGGCAGCAGUGGGGAAUAUUGGACGAUGGGCGCAAGCCUGAUCCAGCCAUACCGCGUGGGUGAAGAAGGCCUUCGGGUUGUAAAGCCCUUUUGUUGGGAAAGAAAAGCAGCAGGUUAAUACCCCGCUGUUCGGACGGUACCCAAAGAAUAAGCACCGGCUAACUUCGU